Molecule: long non-coding RNA, 1179 nt
Organism: Pristis pectinata (smalltooth sawfish)
Lineage: Eukaryota; Metazoa; Chordata; Chondrichthyes; Rhinopristiformes; Pristidae
Exons: 5
Source: RefSeq, a predicted model, not a curated record
CUAAGAACACAGAUGGAUACUGGAGGGUUGCAACUUGCAGCCAACUUCAAAAAUAACAUUGAAAAGAGUUACUUAGGCUCAGAAUUACUGCUAAAACAUUGACAAUUCUGCUCAAAACUGUCAGCUUUCAGUGCUGUAACUUUGGUGAUUUGGGAUUCCCAUUCAAGAAGUCCCAGACUUGUGUGUGGCUGAUCCCCAAGGAUUUCCUGAAUGUUCUGACACUGGAAUCCUUGUGGAGUCCAGUAAUUCCCUGAAUUACAAAAUUUUGCUAUAUUGUGGAAGGUAUCUCUUUCAUAAGUAGAGGAAUAACAGUGGUAGAUCACAAACUACAUUGGGAAAUCGACCCACUUCAGAUCUGGUGAAAGACCUUCACCUUGAAUGGAGAAGAACAGAUGUGAGGGAGCAGGUUUACGCCUUUGAUCAAGUUUAUCUCUCUGACCCAUGGGCCCAGAACAUCUCCUCGUUCGUGAUUCUACGUUUCUAACCUGUUGUUCAUUAAGGUAUCUUGAAUAUACUUAGUGAUUGGACCUCUAUGGGGUUGGAAUGCCAACGAUUUGUCAUCCUGGGUGAAAAAAUUUCUUCUGCUCUCUGUCCUGAAUGGCAGACCUCUUAUUUUGAGUCUAUGAUUGCUGGUUCUCGAAACCCAGCCAGGGGAAACAACCGAAACAGGACUCGAAGCCAGGAUCCAUGUUCUGAGUUCAAAUCCACCACAUGAGGGGAAUUGAGAUUGAAUUAAAUAAAUCAGAAAAGAACUGGAAUCAGCAACGAUGAAAGUAAGACUACUGGAACAUCAUCUUAUAUGAUGAGAUGGACUCUGACCUCACAAUCUACCUUGUUGUGACCUUGCACCUUAAUGUCUACCUGCACUGCACAUCCUCUGUAGCUGUGACACUUUACUCUGCACUGUUAUUGUUUUUACCUGUACUACCUCAAUGCACUCUGUACUAACACAAUGUAACUGCACUGUGUAAUGAGUUGAUCUGUAUGAUCGGUAUGCAAGACAAGUUUUUCACUGUACCUCAGUACAAGUGACGAUAAUAAACCAAUACCAAUACAUUGUAAAAAUCCACCUGCUUAACUAAUGUCCUUCAAGGAAGGAAAUCUCUUGUCAUUACCCAUUCUGGACAGUUUGACUUCAGAUUUUCAACAAAGUGUUUGUCUCUUUAAAAAUAGUGUGGA